This 195-nucleotide unclassified non-coding RNA is filed under the name soil metagenome. RNAcentral's name for it is "partial contains 5.8S ribosomal RNA, internal transcribed spacer 2, and large subunit ribosomal RNA". The record is from RNAcentral.
AACUGAUACUACCUGCGGGAACCUGCGGAAGGAUCAUUACCGAGUUAUCCAACUCCCAACCCCUGUGAAUCAUACCUUUAAUUGUUGCUUCGGCGGGACUUCGCGCCCGCCGGGGACCCAAACCUUCUGAAUUUUUUAAUAAGUAUCUUCUGAGUGGUUAAAAAAAUGAAUCAAAACUUUCAGCAACGGAUCUCU